UGGGGAAUUUUGGACAAUGGGCGUAAGCCUGAUCCAGCCAUGCCGCGUGCGGGAAGAAGGCCUUCGGGUUGUAAACCGCUUUUGUCAGGGAAGAAAUCUUCUGAGUUAAUACCUCGGGAGGAUGACGGUACCUGAAGAAUAAGCACCGGCUAACUACGUGCCAGCAGCCGCGGUAAUACGUAGGGUGCAAGCGUUAAUCGGAAUUACUGGGCGUAAAGCGUGCGCAGGCGGUUUUGUAAGACAGAGGUGAAAUCCCCGGGCUCAACCUGGGAACUGCCUUUGUGACUGCAAGGCUUGAGUGCGGCAGAGGGGGGAUGGAAUUCCGCGUGUAGCAGUGAAAUGCGUAGAUAUGCGGAGGAACACCGAUGGCGAAGGCAAUCCCCUGGGCCUGCACUGACGCUCAUGCACGAAAGCGUGGGGAGCAAACAGGAUUAGAUACCCUGGUAGUCCACGCCCUAAACGAUGUCAACUGGUUGUUGGGAAGGUUCCUUCUCAGUAACGUAGCUAACGCGUGAAGUUGACCGCCUGGGGAGUACGGCCGCAAGGUUG
RNAcentral lists this ribosomal RNA (549 nucleotides) under uncultured bacterium. Its description in RNAcentral is "partial 16S ribosomal RNA". It matches the Rfam family "Bacterial small subunit ribosomal RNA", at positions 355 to 896 of the family's 1533-position model. The record is from RNAcentral.